Molecule: long non-coding RNA, 793 nt
Organism: Cervus elaphus (red deer)
Lineage: Eukaryota; Metazoa; Chordata; Mammalia; Artiodactyla; Cervidae
Exons: 2
Source: RefSeq, a predicted model, not a curated record
CUCCUCUUUCCUAGCUCAUGGGGCAGCCAGGGACUGUGAAGGCUUCAGCAUCCUGGUGAUCAUCAUCACACGUUCUUGUAUGUGCUGCCUGUGUCAUGGGACCUUUCCUAAUCCGACUGCAGAGGGCUGCUCCACAGAAAUGUCUCUUACCAGCCAAAAGCAUGUAGAGCUCCCCCAUUUUCGGCUGGAAGUUGAUGGCUGCGCUGAGGAAAUGGAAAGCGGAUGCAUACUGCUGCAUAGUCAAGUGGACAAGGCCCAAAUUAUAGAGAAUCUUCCACUCUAAAGGUGCCAGGUAGUUGGCUCGUUUCAGGCAGCUGAUGGCCUGGAAGAGUGAGGGGGCACUUGGUGAGGGGCUGGGGCAAGCUCAGCAGACCCAGUAACUAUGAACACAAACCAGGAAGAGGAGGAGACACUCACUGCCACAUAUUUCUUCUUGCCAAAGAAGCACAUUGCAAUGUUAUUCCAGAGUGGAGGGCUUUCUGUAACACCACAUGCUGCAACUUUGUAUUUGGUGAGGGCAACAUCAAAGUCCCCGUGGGUCUGCAUCAUGCUGCCUGCUGCCAAGAUGGCCUGAAAACAUGGAAAGUUCAUAAUUUAGUCAUUCUCAAAAGGCUGUCAGAGUGAAGUAGCCUUCCUGAGUCUAGACACUCAGUAGGCCCAUCAACACUGAUGGGAUUGAAAAACAUCUUCCAGGGACCUAUACAUCCACUGGAACAAACGCUCAAGAGGAACACUCUCACGCCCCACACUGUGGCUCUUUGCUGUAAUAAAGAAAAGUCUCUGACUUUACCUA